UACGUAGGGUCCGAGCGUUGUCCGGAAUUACUGGGCGUAAAGAGCUCGUAGGUGGUUUGUCGCGUUGUCCGUGAAAUCCCACAACUCAAUUGUGGGUCUGCGGGCGAUACGGGCAGACUGGAGUACUGCAGGGGAGACUGGAAUUCCUGGUGUAGCGGUGGAAUGCGCAGGUAUCAGGAGGAACACCGGUGGCGAAGGCGGGUCUCUGGGCAGUAACUGACGCUGAGGAGCGAAAGCGUGGGGAGCGAGCAGG
This 253-nucleotide ribosomal RNA is filed under the name uncultured bacterium. RNAcentral describes it as "partial 16S ribosomal RNA". It matches the Rfam family "Bacterial small subunit ribosomal RNA", at positions 524 to 776 of the family's 1533-position model. The record is from RNAcentral.